This 205-nucleotide long non-coding RNA is filed under the name Anas platyrhynchos platyrhynchos (common mallard). RNAcentral describes it as "lncRNA (ENSAPLG00000030823.1)". The record is from RNAcentral. Lineage: Eukaryota; Metazoa; Chordata; Aves; Anseriformes; Anatidae.
GCUGUGGCUGCUGCUGCUGCUGCUGCUGCUGCUGCUGCUGUCGGUGCCGCCGGUGCCGCCCGCCGGUGCCGCCGUGCCCCGCCUGCGGGUCUCCGCCAACUUCGAGUGCCGGGCCAGCGCCGACAGCACGCUGAGCCCCCCCCGCUGCCGCCGGGGAGCCCCCGCUCGGUCCCCGCUGACUCCGCCGGCCCUGGCGCUGAGCACG